UAGGAAUCUCCACAAUGGACGCAAGUCUGAUGGAGCAACGCCGCGUGAGUGAAGAAGGUUUUCGGACCGUAAAGCUCUGUUGUUGGUGAAGAAGGAUAGAGGUAGUAACUGGCCUUUAUUUGACGGUAAUCAACCAGAAAGUCACGGCUAACUACGUGCCAGCAGCCGCGGUAAUACGUAGGUGGCAAGCGUUGUCCGGAUUUAUUGGGCGUAAAGCGAGCGCAGGCGGAAGAAUAAGUCUGAUGUGAAAGCCCUCGGCUUAACCGAGGAAUUGCAUCGGAAACUGUUUUCUUGAGUGCAGAAGAGGAGAGUAGAACUCCAUGUGUAGCGGUGGAAUGCGUAGAUAUAUGGAAGAAUACCAGUGGCGAAGGCGGCUCUCUGGUCUGCAACUGACGCUGAGGCUCGAAAGCAUGGGUAGCGAACAGGAUUAGAUACCCUGGUAGUCCAUGCCGUAAACGAUGAGUGCUAAGUGUUGGGAGGCUUCCGCCUCUCAGUGCUGCAGCUAACGCAUUAAGCACUCCGCCUGGGGGAGUACGACCGCAAGGUUGAAAC
This 552-nucleotide ribosomal RNA is filed under the name uncultured bacterium. RNAcentral describes it as "partial 16S ribosomal RNA". It matches the Rfam family "Bacterial small subunit ribosomal RNA", at positions 356 to 900 of the family's 1533-position model. The record is from RNAcentral.